Molecule: ribosomal RNA, 250 nt
Filed under: uncultured bacterium
Lineage: Bacteria
Description: partial 16S ribosomal RNA
Rfam family: Bacterial small subunit ribosomal RNA
Source: RNAcentral
UACGAAGGGGGCUAGCGUUGCUCGGAAUCACUGGGCGUAAAGGGUGCGUAGGCGGGUCUUUAAGUCAGGGUGAAUCCUGGAGCUCAACUCCAGAACUGCCUUUGAUACUGAAGAUCUUGAGUUCGGGAGAGGUGAGUGGAACUGCGAGUGUAGAGGUGAAAUUCGUAGAUAUUCGCAAGAACACCAGUGGCGAAGGCGGCUCACUGGCCCGAUACUGACGCUGAGGCACGAAAGCGUGGGAGCAACAGGA